UAGAGCACCUGACUGUUAAUCAGGCUGUCGACGGUUCGAGUCCGCCUGCCGGAG
This is a transfer RNA of 54 nucleotides. It matches the Rfam family "tRNA", at positions 19 to 71 of the family's 71-position model. From Rfam's summary of the family: Transfer RNA (tRNA) molecules are approximately 80 nucleotides in length. Their secondary structure includes four short double-helical elements and three loops (D, anti-codon, and T loops). The record is from Rfam.